AGAGUUUGAUCCUGGCUCAGAGUGAACGCUGGCGGUAGGCCUAACACAUGCAAGUCGAACGGCAGCACAGGAGAGCUUGCUCUCUGGGUGGCGAGUGGCGGACGGGUGAGGAAUACAUCGGAAUCUACUCUGUCGUGGGGGAUAACGUAGGGAAACUUACGCUAAUACCGCAUACGACCUACGGGUGAAAGCAGGGGACCUUCGGGCCUUGCGCGAUUGAAUGAGCCGAUGUCGGAUUAGCUAGUUGGCGGGGUAAAGGCCCACCAAGGCGACGAUCCGUAGCUGGUCUGAGAGGAUGAUCAGCCACACUGGAACUGAGACACGGUCCAGACUCCUACGGGAGGCAGCAGUGGGGAAUAUUGGACAAUGGGCGCAAGCCUGAUCCAGCCAUACCGCGUGGGUGAAGAAGGCCUUCGGGUUGUAAAGCCCUUUUGUUGGGAAAGAAAUCCAGCUGGCUAAUACCCGGUUGGGAUGACGGUACCCAAAGAAUAAGCACCGGCUAACUUCGUGCCAGCAGCCGCGGUAAUACGAAGGGUGCAGCGUUACUCGGAAUUACUGGGCGUAAAGCGUGCG
This 573-nucleotide ribosomal RNA is filed under the name uncultured bacterium. RNAcentral describes it as "bacterial SSU rRNA". It matches the Rfam family "Bacterial small subunit ribosomal RNA", at positions 8 to 571 of the family's 1533-position model. The record is from RNAcentral.